UGGUUUGGGAUACCCUUAGUUUAAAUCCAAUGCGAGAAAAUAAAUUGUUAUGUCAAGAAAAUUCAACAAAUGAAGAUUUUGAUGAUGAGACGUUUGGGAGAGAGAGGCCAGUUGGAUUGUUAAGUGCAAGCUUAUCAUGAAGAAUAUUUCAGGCCUGAGGUCCGUCUAUGUCAGAAAUCAUGGUUAGUUCUCUUCAGGGUGGGUGCCAUGCCCAUACGUAAAAGGUUAAAUGUAUAUUGAUUUGAUGCACAAUGUAGAAUAGCAAGAGAUAAUUUGUUGGGGCUCAGAAAUAUGUUCAGUACAGGUGGAUGCUUAUAUGGUCCUAAAUUUUCC
This 333-nucleotide unclassified non-coding RNA is filed under the name Hevea brasiliensis (rubber tree). The record is from RNAcentral. Lineage: Eukaryota; Viridiplantae; Streptophyta; Magnoliopsida; Malpighiales; Euphorbiaceae.